UACGGGGGGAGCAAGCGUUGUCCGGAUUUACUGGGCGUAAAGAGCGCGCAGGCGGUCGUUCAAGUCGCGUGUGAAAGCCCCCGGCUCAACUGGGGAGGGUCACGCGAUACUGAUCGACUCGAAGGCAGGAGAGGGUAGUGGAAUUCCCGGUGUAGUGGUGAAAUGCGUAGAUAUCGGGAGGAACACCAGUGGCGAAGGCGACUACCUGGCCUGUUUCUUGACGCUGAGGCGCGAAAGCUAGGGGAGCAAACGGG
RNAcentral lists this ribosomal RNA (254 nucleotides) under uncultured bacterium. RNAcentral describes it as "partial 16S ribosomal RNA". It matches the Rfam family "Bacterial small subunit ribosomal RNA", at positions 524 to 776 of the family's 1533-position model. The record is from RNAcentral.